GUCUCCAGCCAUCAUCCUGAAUAUGCCCAAUCCUGUCUGAUCAUAGAAGCUAAGUAGGGUCGGAUCUGGUUGGUCCUUGGAAGAGAGACUACACACCACUGAGAAGCACCCUGGAGUGGGGAUG
RNAcentral lists this ribosomal RNA (124 nucleotides) under Otolemur garnettii (small-eared galago). The record is from RNAcentral. Lineage: Eukaryota; Metazoa; Chordata; Mammalia; Primates; Galagidae.